UGGACUUUACACAUUUUACCUCUUUCUCUACACAACUAAGACACUCUGCUAACACACCUUUCUGCUAGACGCCAUCUCGUUCAAAACACAUUUAGGUUUCAG
Molecule: long non-coding RNA, 102 nt
Organism: Sander lucioperca (pikeperch)
Lineage: Eukaryota; Metazoa; Chordata; Actinopteri; Perciformes; Percidae
Exons: 3
Source: RefSeq, a predicted model, not a curated record